GCCAGGCAUAGUGGCAUGUGCCUGUAAUCCCAGCUACUCAGGAGGCUGAGGCAGGAGAAUCGCUUGAACCCAGGAAAUGGAGGUUGCAGUGAGCUGAGAUCAUGCCACUGCACUCCAACCUGGGUGACAGAGUGAGACUCCGCCUCAA
Molecule: unclassified non-coding RNA, 148 nt
Organism: Macaca mulatta (Rhesus monkey)
Lineage: Eukaryota; Metazoa; Chordata; Mammalia; Primates; Cercopithecidae
Rfam family: Metazoan signal recognition particle RNA
About the family: The signal recognition particle (SRP) is a universally conserved ribonucleoprotein. It is involved in the co-translational targeting of proteins to membranes. The eukaryotic SRP consists of a 300-nucleotide 7S RNA and six proteins: SRPs 72, 68, 54, 19, 14, and 9.
Source: Ensembl